Molecule: ribosomal RNA, 468 nt
Filed under: uncultured bacterium
Lineage: Bacteria
Description: partial 16S ribosomal RNA
Rfam family: Bacterial small subunit ribosomal RNA
Source: RNAcentral
GACGAACGCUGGCGGCGUGCUUAACACAUGCAAGUCGAACGGAAAGGCCCUGCUUUUGUGGGGUGCUCGAGUGGCGAACGGGUGAGUAACACGUGAGUAACCUGCCCUUGACUUUGGGAUAACUUCAGGAAACUGGGGCUAAUACCGGAUAGGAGCUCCUGCUGCAUGGUGGGGGUUGGAAAGUUUCGGCGGUUGGGGAUGGACUCGCGGCUUAUCAGCUUGUAGGUGGGGUAGUGGCUUACCAAGGCUUUGACGGGUAGCCGGCCUGAGAGGGUGACCGGCCACAUUGGGACUGAGAUACGGCCCAGACUCCUACGGGAGGCAGCAGUGGGGAAUAUUGCACAAUGGGCGGAAGCCUGAUGCAGAAACGCCGCGUGCGGGAUGACGGCCUUCGGGUUGUAAACCGCUUUCGCCUGUGACGAAGCGUGAGUGACGGUAAUGGGUAAAGAAGCACCGGCUAACUACGUG